CAGCAGCCGCGGUAAUACGUAGGUGGCAAGCGUUGUCCGGAAUUAUUGGGCGUAAAGGGCUCGCAGGCGGAUUUUUAAGUCAGGGGUGAAAUCCCGAGGCUCAACCUCGGAACUGCCUUUGAUACUGGAGAUCUUGAGUUCGAAAGAGGUUGGUGGAACAGCUAGUGUAGAGGUGAAAUUCGUAGAUAUUAGCUAGAACACCAGUGGCGAAGGCGGCCAACUGGUCCGAUACUGACGCUGAGGUGCGAAAGCGUGGGGAGCAAACAGGAUUAGAUACCCCCGUAGUCCCUGUCUCUUAUAC
This 301-nucleotide ribosomal RNA is filed under the name uncultured bacterium. Its description in RNAcentral is "partial 16S ribosomal RNA". It matches the Rfam family "Bacterial small subunit ribosomal RNA", at positions 509 to 807 of the family's 1533-position model. The record is from RNAcentral.